This 402-nucleotide ribosomal RNA is filed under the name uncultured prokaryote. RNAcentral describes it as "bacterial SSU rRNA". It matches the Rfam family "Bacterial small subunit ribosomal RNA", at positions 355 to 774 of the family's 1533-position model. The record is from RNAcentral.
UGAGGAAUUUUGCGCAAUGGGAGCAAUCCUGACCCAGCAAUGCCGCGUGAGUGAUGAAGGCCUUAGGGUUGUAAAGCUCUUUUACUGGGGAUGAUAAUGACAGUACCCAGAGAAUAAGCUCCGGCUAACUCCGUGCCAGCAGCCGCGGUAAUACGGAGGGAGCUAGCGUUGUUCGGAAUUACUGGGCGUAAAGCGCGCGUAGGCGGCUCAGCAAGUCAGGGGUGAAAUCCCGGGGCUCAACCCCGGAACUGCCUUUGAAACUGCUAGGCUAGAAUCCUGGAGAGGCGAGUGGAAUUCCGAGUGUAGAGGUGAAAUUCGUAGAUAUUCGGAAGAACACCAGUGGCGAAGGCGACUCGCUGGACAGGUAUUGACGCUGAGGUGCGAAAGCGUGGGGAGCAAACA